This 425-nucleotide ribosomal RNA is filed under the name uncultured bacterium. Its description in RNAcentral is "bacterial SSU rRNA". It matches the Rfam family "Bacterial small subunit ribosomal RNA", at positions 354 to 796 of the family's 1533-position model. The record is from RNAcentral.
GUUAGGAAUAUUGGACAAUGGGCGAAAGCCUGAUCCAGCCAUGCCGCGUGAACGAUGAAGGCCUUCGGGGUGUAAAGUUCUUUAGCCGAUGAUUAUAAUGACUGUAGUCGGAAAAUAAGCCCCGGCUAACUUCGUGCCAGCAGCCGCGGUAAUACGAAGGGGGCGAGCGUUAUUCGGAAUCACUGGGCGUAAAGCGUGCGUAGGCGGUUUUGUAAGUUAGGAGUGAAAGCCCAGGGCUCAACCUUGGAAUUGCUCUUAAAACUGCAAGGCUCGAAUCUCGGAGAGGAUAGCGGAAUUUCCAGUGUAGCAGUGAAAUGCGUAGAUAUUGGAAGGAACACCAGUGGCGUAAGCGGCUAUCUGGACGAGUAUUGACGCUGAGGCACGAAAGCGUGGGGAUCAAACAGGAUUAGAUACCCUGGUAGUCC